Molecule: ribosomal RNA, 661 nt
Filed under: uncultured Cortinarius
Lineage: Eukaryota; Fungi; Basidiomycota; Agaricomycetes; Agaricales; Cortinariaceae
Description: eukaryotic LSU rRNA
Rfam family: 5.8S ribosomal RNA (bases 271-424)
Source: RNAcentral
CUUCCGUAGGGUGAACCUGCGGAAGGAUCAUUAUUGAAAUAAACCUGAUGAGUUGUUGCUGGUUCUCUAGAGAGCAUUGUGCACGCUUGUCAUCUUUAUGUCUCCACCUGUGCACAUUUUGUAGACCUGGAUCACUCUCUGAAAUGCUAACCAGCAUUUUAGGUUGGAGGAAUUUGACUUUGUUGUCUUUCCUUGCAUUUCUAGGUCUAUGUUCUUUUUCAUAUAAUCUUAUUGUGAUAUAAUGGACCCUAUAUAAAUAUAAACCUAUACAACUUUCAGCAACGGAUCUCUUGGCUCUCGCAUCGAUGAAGAACGCAGCGAAAUGCGAUAAGUAAUGUGAAUUGCAGAAUUCAGUGAAUCAUCGAAUCUUUGAACGCACCUUGCGCUCCUUGGUAUUCCGAGGAGCAUGCCUGUUUGAGUGUCAUUAAUAUAUCAACCUCUUCAAAUUUUGAGAGUGUUUGGAUGUGGGGGUGUUAUUUUGCUGGCCUCCUCCAAGGUCAGCUCCCCUGAAAUGUAUUAGCGGAACAAUUUGUUGACCGUUCAUUGGUGUGAUAGCAUAUCAUACGCUAUUGACGUGAAGCAAGUUCAGCUUAUAACAGUCCAUUGACUUGGACAAUUCUCUAUUUAUUAAUGUGACCUCAAAUCAGUAGACACCUCAAUC